GUGAGGAAUAUUGCGCAAUGGGCGAAAGCCUGACGCAGCGACGCCGCGUGGAGGAUGAAGGUCUUCGGAUUGUAAACUCCUGUCGAGCGGGACGAAUGCGGUGAGCGUUAACAGCGCUUGCCGUUGACGGUACCGCUGGAGGAAGCCCCGGCUAACUCCGUGCCAGCAGCCGCGGUAAUACGGAGGGGGCCAGCGUUGUUCGGAAUCAUUGGGCGUAAAGGGCGCGUAGGCGGCCGAUCAAGUCCGACGUGAAAUUCCUCGGCUCAACCGAGGGCCUGCGUCGGAUACUGCUCGGCUUGAGUCCCGGAGAGGGUAGUGGAAUUCCCAGUGUAGCGGUGAAAUGCGUAGAUACUGGGAGGAACACCGGUGGCGAAGGCGGCUACCUGGACGGGUACUGACGCUGAGGCGCGAAAGCUAGGGGAGCAAACAGGAUUAGAUACCCCGGUAGUCC
Molecule: ribosomal RNA, 451 nt
Filed under: uncultured bacterium
Lineage: Bacteria
Description: bacterial SSU rRNA
Rfam family: Bacterial small subunit ribosomal RNA
Source: RNAcentral